Molecule: ribosomal RNA, 434 nt
Filed under: uncultured bacterium
Lineage: Bacteria
Description: bacterial SSU rRNA
Rfam family: Bacterial small subunit ribosomal RNA
Source: RNAcentral
CAGGCCUAACACAUGCAAGUCGAACGAUGCUUUCGGGCAUAGUGGCGCACGGGUGCGUAACGCGUGGGAAUCUGCCCUUUGGUUCGGAAUAACAGUUGGAAACGACUGCUAAUACCGGAUGAUGACGUAAGUCCAAAGAUUUAUCGCCAGAGGAUGAGCCCGCGUGAGAUUAGGUAGUUGGUGGGGUAAAGGCCUACCAAGCCGACGAUCUCUAGCUGGUCUGAGAGGAUGAUCAGCCACACUGGGACUGAGACACGGCCCAGACUCCUACGGGAGGCAGCAGUGGGGAAUAUUGGACAAUGGGCGCAAGCCUGAUCCAGCCAUGCCGCGUGAGUGAUGAAGGCCUUAGGGUUGUAAAGCUCUUUUGUCCGGGACGAUAAUGACGGUACCGGAAGAAUAAGCCCCGGCUAACUUCGUGCCAGCAGCCGCGGUAA